This 1240-nucleotide long non-coding RNA is filed under the name Salvia miltiorrhiza (redroot sage). RNAcentral describes it as "long non-coding RNA (SMIL_LNC001916)". Lineage: Eukaryota; Viridiplantae; Streptophyta; Magnoliopsida; Lamiales; Lamiaceae. The record is from RNAcentral.
UCAGGAUUGGUGCAUUCGGAGCAAAAAAUAUUGAACAUGUAAGAGGACAUGUCUCUGCUCAUGCUUAAGGACAACUUAUUGUCUAUACAUAAUAAUGCAUCUCAUUACAUAUAUACAUCGGCUUGAUCUAUUUUGGUUGAAUCAUAAGUUAAUAGAAUCCAUUCAUUAAAUUAUAAGAGAAUAAAGAAUGACCUCUUCCCAGAGGGUCGUCAGCUGGGAGCAGGCUUCAUUCUCCGGGAUUCUGCGGGGAAGAUCGUGGCUGCUGGUUGUCAGCCAGUUGGUUACACCGAGACCGUUCUCCUUGGGGAACUUCACGUCAUGCUGCUCGCAAUUGGCUUCUGUCUUCAGGAGGACUUUGGCCCGGUGGUGUGUUUUUCAGAUUCUCUCCUUGCGAUCCACGUGCUCCAUGACUCCCACUCGGGCUCCGAAUCGCUUAGUGAUGAUCUCUUAGAGGCCUCUAAUCAUGCCCAGAAUUCCAUUGUGCUUGAGUUUUUUCAUGCCCGCCGUGAGGCGAAUAGAGCGCCCCACGAGCUCGCUCGCUUUGCUUUCUCUUGUAAUGAUGUAAUGAUCUGGAAGUCGGGUUUUCCUACCUGGCUUGUUGAUAUUACUCGUUCUGAUUUGAAUGAAUGAAGUUCGUUUUUCCUCUCAAAAAGAAUGACCUCUUCCCAAAAUUAUAUAUAAUUAAUCAGCUCCAUAUAAUUAUUAUAUGAACUAUAUAGAUAUAUAUUAUCUUUCAUGGCCUAUAAAGACAGAAAUGACUGAUGCAUAUACAAAUCGUAAGGAGAAAAAGAUGAAGAAGAGGCUUUCUAGGGGCAUCUCUAAAUAUUCAAAUAUGGUUUAGGAAUUUUGUCGAACAGUUGGUACACAAUAAAAUAUAACCAUUUACCAUCUAUCUCACAUAAAUUUCGUAGAUCAAACAACACACCUUUUAAUGGUAGACAUGCAGUUCGUGGAGUCGGCGACAAUGAGUUUCUGAAGUUCUUCUGAAAAUCCAAUGGUUGCUAAUAUCGAAAUGAAUUAAACAACAUGUAUGUAAUAAAACAAAUCUUUGAAACUAUGAUUUAUAGUCGAACAUUGAGCUGAUCGUAGUGAAACACCUCUGAGAUUGAGAAACGUUGCUGCUGAGAUUGAGAAAAAAAUAUUCUUUAUAAUAGGAAAAUGAGACUUGCCAUUCGGAAAUGCAGCUGUGAUUAGCGUGUGAAUAAUUUAUGGGAUUUACUAAUCUAAUUUUGUAAAAUGA